This is an RNA transcript of Mauremys mutica (yellowpond turtle), 2479 nucleotides long. It is a transcript of the gene named RNA binding protein, mRNA processing factor, with no coding region annotated. NCBI's taxonomy places the organism in Eukaryota, Metazoa, Chordata, Testudines, Geoemydidae. The transcript has 9 exons. The record is from RefSeq and is a predicted model, not a curated record.
CCGGGGGCUCAGUGCAGCGCCGCCAGCUCCUCAUGCUGCUGCCAGCGGCAGGGACCAGCCUCUCCGCAGCCGGCUCCGUGCGCCCCGGGACGGCACCAUGAACAGCCUCCCCGCCGACAAGGAGAGCGGCGCGGCCGAGCCCGGCCUGCCCGAGGAGGAGGUCCGGACUCUCUUUGUGAGCGGCCUUCCCCUGGACAUCAAACCGCGGGAGCUCUACUUGCUGUUCAGACCCUUCAAGGGUUAUGAAGGCUCUCUGAUAAAACUCACCUCUAAACAGCCUGUAGGGUUUGUCAGCUUUGACAGUCGCUCAGAAGCAGAAGCUGCUAAGAAUGCGCUGAAUGGAAUUCGCUUUGACCCCGAAAUUCCACAAACGCUACGACUAGAAUUCGCCAAGGCAAACACCAAGAUGGCCAAGAGCAAGCUAGUGGGAACCCCGAACCCGAGCACUCCUCUCCCCAGCACGGUACCUCAGUUCAUUACCAGGGAGCAAUAUGAGCUCACAGUGCCUGCACUUUAUCCCAGUAGCCCUGAAGUGUGGGCGCCGUACCCUCUGUACCCAGCGGAGUUAGCACCUGCUCUACCUCCUCCUGCUUUCACCUAUCCCGCUUCACUGCAUGCCCAGAUGCGCUGGCUCCCUCCCUCAGAGGCUGCUUCUCAGGGCUGGAAGUCCCGUCAGUUCUGCUGAAUACUGUGUAUCAGGUGUGUGAUGGUGGCUACAAUCAGUCUUGUGGGUAUUAAUGGAACCUUUGAAGGUGGCUACUGGUUUCUCAUGCCCUCCUUCAAAACUACAGUGUGCUGGCUUGAAAAACCUCACACAAGUUUUGAUUCCUUCAAGACUUUGCCACAGCCUCUAUCACACAUCUGCUCUCGUAGAAGAAAAAAAGCAUACAAACUAAUGAAGUUUUCCUUUUUUACACUGUAUUGUUGUAAGGAAGAGUGUUACUUGUGACAGCACGGUCGGACAGUCAUUGCUGUAGAGUUUGAAAAGUAUUUUCAAACAAAAAAGCAAACUAUCAAAGCAAAAGGAGAGCGAGUAUUUUUAUACCAAACAUUGUGCAUAUAACAAUCUUACACCGGGUUAGAUCACUAAGUUUUGUGCUCGACUUUUGAAUGCGUGCAAUUAAGAUUCUCUCUUUUUUCUUUCUUCUUUUUUUGUAAGCUGCAUGCAUUCAAGACAUGUUUUUAAAUCUUGUUCAGAAUUAAAUAAUUGUAUUGUUAGGUUUAUAGGCAUUGUGCUUAGCCUGGGCGGAACUACAGCUCUGGGUAUAUUUACAGUAUUAGGGUUUUAUUCCCCAGUGUACCAUAUUCUAUCAGGCAGGACAAUCAGAAAACAAUUUUUCUACCUUAGGGCUACAGUUCCCUUUUGCAGUGUGAGGCUUUAGUCUAGCAGAGAGCUGUGCAGGGAAAAGCCAUGCAUGGAGCAAGUGGAGACUUACUAAUGAGCGCUCUCCCUGUGCUUACUUCAGGGACAGUUACAUUUGCUGGGUCACUAUCUGUCCAGGGACAGGAAGGGCUGGUUCCGGUAAUGGCUUGAAAUGUUUACUGGCAACGUAAACGGCUGUAAUGAGAAAAAGUUGACCCCAAUUCAGGAACACACUCAAGAACAUGCUUAAGUCUAGUUGAAGUGAAUGGGACUUUAACACACACUUACAGUUAACACUUAAGUGCUUUGUUGAAUUAGGGCCUUAAUGAAUAGUUUAUGCCUGUCCAGCUCCUUGCUAUGUAAUAUGCUGGUAUUUUCAAUGCAAAAGUGAAACCAAAAAGGGAGGCUUUGACAUUUUCUGCUAAACCCUGUUCUUUACUCCAGUCAUUGUCUUGAAGCAAUAUUUGUAAUGUUUACGGAGAAUACUGUACCAGCAACAAGAAGCUUAUUUUACCAGUACAUUCCUUUUCCCCUAUUGCUUUUCACUCUGCAUAGGAAUAGAAUAUAGAAAUGAGUCUUUGUUUUCCUGUAAAAGGAUUGACAACUCCUGACCCCUAAAGACGACUCUCUCUCCGCCCACUCACCCAUAAGGAAUGCUGUGCCGCAGCCUGCACUGAUUGGUUCAAGAAGGACCUGAUUGUUGACAAGUGUGGUGAAAGUGUGCUCACAGGUUUCCCCGUAGUUUUGUUCACAUUGUGCUGAACACGUAGUGCUGUCAGUGUUUUUAUGAUGCCAACACAAUUGUUCUUUGUGGAAAUGCAGAUGUUGAGAAUUCUUCAGUCCCAAGACCACAGUGAUAGUUGAAAGCAUAAGACAGAAAAACAUAAAUUCUACUUUUGUUUAAACAAAGUGACAAGGAUAACUUGAGAACAAAUGUUUAAAUAAAUCUAAACAGACAUGUGUAAGUAUUCUAACCAAUAGACUAGUUCUUUAGAAAACUGAUUUUCUGUAUUUGUUUUGGGUAAUAGAGGAAAGAAACAUCCACAUUGUCUACUCUGCUUUUUUGAAAUAUGUUUAAAGGUACUUUUCUAUUGUAAUUUUUAAAAAAUAAAACAA